UGGUAGUCCGCACGAGCGCACCCCUAUCCCUAGUUGCCAGCACGUAAUGGUGGGAACUCUAGGGAGACUGCCUGUGUUAAGCAGGAGGAAGGUGGGGACGACGUCAAGUCCUCAUGGCCCUUACGUCCGGGGCUGGAAACGUGCUACAAUGGCCGGUACAAAGGGCUGCAAUACCGCGAGGUGGAGCUAAUCCCAAAAAACCGGUCUCAGUUCGGAUUAGAGUCUGCAACUCGACUCUAUGAAGGCGGAAUCGCUAGUAAUCGUGGAUCAGCAUGCCACGGUGAAUACGUUCCCGGGUCUUGUACACACCGCCCGUCAAGCGAUGAAAGCUGGGAAUACCCGAAGUCAGUAGUCCAACCCUCGGGAGGACGCUGCCGAAGGUAGAUCUGGUAAUUGGCGCUAAGUCGUAACAAGGUAGCCGUAUCGGGAGGUGCGGCUGGAUCACCUCCUCU
Molecule: ribosomal RNA, 452 nt
Filed under: uncultured bacterium
Lineage: Bacteria
Description: bacterial SSU rRNA
Rfam family: Bacterial small subunit ribosomal RNA
Source: RNAcentral